RNAcentral lists this ribosomal RNA (463 nucleotides) under uncultured bacterium. RNAcentral describes it as "bacterial SSU rRNA". It matches the Rfam family "Bacterial small subunit ribosomal RNA", at positions 1 to 507 of the family's 1533-position model. The record is from RNAcentral.
CAGUAGUCACGAGUUUGAUCCUGGCUCAGGAUGAACGCUAGCGGCAGGCUUAACACAUGCAAGUCGAACGAGACCUUCGGGUAUAGUGGCGCACGGGUGCGUAACACGUGGGAAUUUGCCUCGGGGUAUGGAAUAACUCAGGGAAACUUGAGCUAAUACCAUAUAAUGUCUUCGGACCAAAGAUUUAUCGCCCUGAGAUAAGCCCGCGUAGGAUUAGCUAGUUGGUGAGGUAAAGGCUCACCAAGGCGACGAUCCUUAGCUGGUCUGAGAGGAUGAUCAGCCACACUGGGACUGAGACACGGCCCAGACUCCUACGGGAGGCAGCAGUGGGGGAAUAUUGGACAAUGGGCGAAAGCCUGAUCCAGCAAUGCCGCGUGAGUGAUGAAGGCCUUCGGGUUGUAAAGCUCUUUUACUCGGGACGAUAAUGACGGUACCGAGAGAAUAAGCCCCGGCUAACUCCGUG